Molecule: ribosomal RNA, 433 nt
Filed under: uncultured bacterium
Lineage: Bacteria
Description: partial 16S ribosomal RNA
Rfam family: Bacterial small subunit ribosomal RNA
Source: RNAcentral
AACGAACGCUGGCGGCAUGCCUAACACAUGCAAGUCGAACGAGACCUUCGGGUCUAGUGGCGCACGGGUGCGUAACGCGUGGGAACCUGCCCUUAGGUUCGGAAUAACUCCCCGAAAGGGGUGCUAAUACCGGAUAAUGUCUUCGGACCAAAGAUUUAUCGCCUUUGGAUGGGCCCGCGUUGGAUUAGCUAGUUGGUAGGGUAAAAGCCUACCAAGGCGACGAUCCAUAGCUGGUCUGAGAGGAUGAUCAGCCACACUGGGACUGAGACACGGCCCAGACUCCUACGGGAGGCAGCAGUGGUGAAUAUUGGACAAUGGGCGAAAGCCUGAUCCAGCAAUGCCGCGUGAGUGAUGAAGGCCUUAGGGUUGUAAAUCUCUUUUACCCGAGAUGAUAAUGACAGUACCGGGAGAAUAAGCUCCGGCUAACUCCGUG